This 476-nucleotide ribosomal RNA is filed under the name uncultured bacterium. Its description in RNAcentral is "partial 16S ribosomal RNA". It matches the Rfam family "Bacterial small subunit ribosomal RNA", at positions 28 to 523 of the family's 1533-position model. The record is from RNAcentral.
GAUGAACGCUGGCGGCGUGCUUAACACAUGCAAGUCGAGCGAGUGAGUUCUUCGGAACGAUCUAGCGGCGGACGGGUGAGUAAUACGUGGGCAACCUGCCUCAUAGAGGGGAAUAGCCUCCCGAAAGGGAGAAUAAUACCGCAUAAAAGUAUCGAGUGGCAUCACACGAUACUCAAAGGAGUAAUCCGCUAUGAGAUGGGCCCGCGGCGCAUUAGCGUGUUGGUGAGGUAACGGCUCACCAAGGCGACGAUGCGUAGCCGACGUGAGAGGAUGAUCGGCGACAUUGGGGCUGAGACACGGCCCAGACUCCUACGGGAGGCAGCAGUGGGGAAUAUUGCACAAUGGGGGAAACCCUGAUGCAGCAACGCCGCGUGAGUGAUGAAGGUCUUCGGAUUGUAAAGCUCUGUCUUUGGAGACGAUAAUGACGGUACCCAAGGAGGAAGCCACGGCUAACUACGUGCCAGCAGCCGCCGUAA